This 253-nucleotide ribosomal RNA is filed under the name uncultured bacterium. RNAcentral describes it as "partial 16S ribosomal RNA". It matches the Rfam family "Bacterial small subunit ribosomal RNA", at positions 524 to 776 of the family's 1533-position model. The record is from RNAcentral.
UACAGAGGGGGCAAGCGUUGUUCGGAAUUACUGGGCGUAAAGGGCGCGUAGGCGGCCUGUUAAGUCGAACGUGAAAUCCCCGGGCUCAACCCGGGAACUGCGUCCGAUACUGGCAGGCUUGAAUCCGGGAGAGGGAUGUGGAAUUCCAGGUGUAGCGGUGAAAUGCGUAGAGAUGUGGAGGAACACCGAUGGCGAAGGCAGCCUUCUGGGCCAACACUGACGCUCAUGCACGAAAGCGUGGGGAGCAAACAGG